RNAcentral lists this ribosomal RNA (575 nucleotides) under uncultured archaeon. Its description in RNAcentral is "bacterial SSU rRNA". It matches the Rfam family "Archaeal small subunit ribosomal RNA", at positions 1 to 569 of the family's 1478-position model. The record is from RNAcentral.
GAUGCUCUACAUUUCCUGGUUGAUCCUGCCGGACCUGACUGCUAUCGGAUUGGUACUAAGCCAUGCGAGUCGUUGUAGCAAUACAAGGCGGACUGCUCAGUAACACGUAGUUAACUUAACCUAUGGAUGGGCAUAACCUCGGGAAACUGAGAAUAAUACCCAAUGGACCACAGUGCCUGGAAUGGCCUGUGGUUGAAAUGAUUUAUCGCCGUAGGAUAGGACUGCGGCCUAUCAGCUUGUUGGUGAGGUAAUGGCCCACCAAGGCUAUAACAGGGACGGGCUCUGAGAGGAGGGGCCCGGAGAUGGGUACUGAGACACGGACCCAGGCCCUAUGGGGCGCAGCAGGCGAGAAACCUUUGCAAUGUGCGAAAGCACGACAAGGUUAAUCCGAGUGUCUCCUGCUAAAGGAGUCUUUUGUCAGUUGUAGAAUCACUGGUGAAUAAGGGGUGGGCAGGUUCUGGUGUCAGCCGCCGCGGUAAAACCAGCACCUCGAGUGGUCAGGAGGUUUAUUGGGCCUANAGCAUCCGUAGCCGGUUGCAUAAGUUUUCGGUUAAAUCUAUGCGCUUAACGUAUUU